GCCUGGGUAGCUCAGUGGGUUAAGCGUCUGACUUCAGCUCAGAUCACGAUCUCACGGUUCAUGAGUUGGAGCCCCAUGUCAGGCU
Molecule: transfer RNA, 85 nt
Filed under: Felis catus (domestic cat)
Lineage: Eukaryota; Metazoa; Chordata; Mammalia; Carnivora; Felidae
Rfam family: tRNA
About the family: Transfer RNA (tRNA) molecules are approximately 80 nucleotides in length. Their secondary structure includes four short double-helical elements and three loops (D, anti-codon, and T loops).
Source: Rfam by way of RNAcentral